RNAcentral lists this ribosomal RNA (440 nucleotides) under uncultured bacterium. Its description in RNAcentral is "partial 16S ribosomal RNA". It matches the Rfam family "Bacterial small subunit ribosomal RNA", at positions 338 to 795 of the family's 1533-position model. The record is from RNAcentral.
CCUACGGGAGGCAGCAGUGGGGAAUAUUGGACAAUGGGGGAAACCCUGAUCCAGCGACGCCGCGUGAGUGAAGAAGUAUUUCGGUACGUAAAGCUCUAUCAGCAGGAAAGAAAAUGACGGUACCUGACUAAGAAGCCCCGGCUAACUACGUGCCAGCAGCCGCGGUACUACGUAGGGGGCAAGCGUUAUCCGGAUUUACUGGGUGGAAAGGGAGCGUAGACGGCAGCGCAAGUCUGGAGUGAAAUGCCGGGGCCCAACCCCGGAACUGCUCUGGAAACUGUGAAGCUGGAGUGCAGGAGAGGUAAGCGGAAUUCCUGGUGUAGCGGUGAAAUGCGUAGAUAUCAGGAGGAACACCGGCGGCGAAGGCGGCUUACUGGUCUGUAACUGACGUUGAGGCUCGAAGGCGUGGGGAGCAAACAGGAUUAGAUACCCGAGUAGUC